RNAcentral lists this ribosomal RNA (571 nucleotides) under Rhodotorula mucilaginosa. Its description in RNAcentral is "eukaryotic LSU rRNA". The stretch from base 163 to 316 matches the Rfam family "5.8S ribosomal RNA". The record is from RNAcentral. Lineage: Eukaryota; Fungi; Basidiomycota; Microbotryomycetes; Sporidiobolales; Sporidiobolaceae.
GGAUCAUUAGUGAAUAUAGGACGUCCAACUUAACUUGGAGUCCGAACUCUCACUUUCUAACCCUGUGCACUUGUUUGGGAUAGUAACUCUCGCAAGAGAGCGAACUCCUAUUCACUUAUAAACACAAAGUCUAUGAAUGUAUUAAAUUUUAUAACAAAAUAAAACUUUCAACAACGGAUCUCUUGGCUCUCGCAUCGAUGAAGAACGCAGCGAAAUGCGAUAAGUAAUGUGAAUUGCAGAAUUCAGUGAAUCAUCGAAUCUUUGAACGCACCUUGCGCUCCAUGGUAUUCCGUGGAGCAUGCCUGUUUGAGUGUCAUGAAUACUUCAACCCUCCUCUUUCUUAAUGAUUGAAGAGGUGUUUGGUUUCUGAGCGCUGCUGGCCUUUACGGUCUAGCUCGUUCGUAAUGCAUUAGCAUCCGCAAUCGAACUUCGGAUUGACUUGGCGUAAUAGACUAUUCGCUGAGGAAUUCUAGUCUUCGGAUUAGAGCCGGGUUGGGUUAAAGGAAGCUUCUAAUCAGAAUGUCUACAUUUUAAGAUUAGAUCUCAAAUCAGGUAGGACUACCCGCUGAAC